GGUGUGUGCUGGGCGCUGGGAAGAGAGAGCGCCGCCGGCCGUGGGGAACGGACGCACUGAUUUGCUCCCGUAACCUCAGCACCCCCUCCUCACCCACCCAGCACCAGGUGGGUGUGAGCUGGGAUUCCGGCCUCACAGGAGGGAAACAUGCUAAAAGGAUGUAGACCCCUAAAACUCUUCUUCUAGCUGAAAUCACUGGAAACAAGUUGGGCUGAGCACUGAACUCACAUUUGUGGACCUGAGGAGCCUGUACCUCCCACUUCCUCACCUGGCUGAGCUGCAGUAGUUCUUCAGUGGCAAGCUUUAUGUCCUGACCCAGCUAAAGCUGCCAGUUGAAGAACUGUUGCCCUCUGCCCCUGGCUUCAAGGAGGAGGAGGAGGAAGAGGAGAGGAGCUGCUUUCCCCCUCAUCUGGAAGGUGACAGAACUGGGGUUGGGAAAGUCUGGAAUGACAGGGGGAGUAAUGAUACUUUUGGGGGAAAUGAGCUCUUUUCAGUUGGAGAGCCUGCUCCCAGAGUGGCCCAGCAAUAGAGAGAACAAUUCUAGAUUAAAGACCCUGGCUAAAUGAAGGGAUAGAUGGUUCUGACUACCCAAGCAAGGUUAGUUGGUCUUUAUGUGGUAAUAGGAAGAAGUGGAGCACAGAAAACUCUGUCUACCCCUUUACCCAGAUAACCAUUGUUGACCCUCCUUCCUUGUCUCUCAUUCUUUCCUACUGGCCUUUCCAGCUGAGGUCCAAAGAUUUUCCUGAUAAGAUUCCUCCUCAGGAAAAAGGUCGUACUGAACCUAGUUGUUGCCCCCAUGCUCUUACCUUUCCCUGAAUUUCCUUAGACUGGCUCAGACUCUAGAGUCAGAGAUAGUCACCUAUAUGUGGAAUCCUGAGACCUGUUGUCUCAGCUUCUCCACCUGUGAGAUGGGUAAUCACACAGUUGAGUAUGCACCAGGGAAUCAGAAGCCCACUUGUGCAGACUCUGAGCCUGGGCUCUCCUCCCACUGUGGGUGGGAACAAAACAGCUUUUCACAUAAGCUAUUGUCCUCCCCCAUCCCUGACCAUAACCCCAGGAACUGGAGAGGGGGGUAGUUGGAGGGAGGGGCUGGGAUUAGACCAAUGCCAGGGGCUAGUAGGAACUCCGUCUCUACAUUGACUUCCCACCAUGCAAAGAUGGACCUAGGCUUCCCCUGCCACCCAGUGCAGGACUGCGGCCUCUGAUGGGCUUCCAGCUGCUGCUGCUCACUUUGCUUUCUAGGAUUAAUGUGUGAGACAGCUCAGGCCUGUGCAGGCAGGAAAUUCUCCCCUCCAGCAACCAGGAGAGGUGGAUUGCUGGAUGUGAUUCCCUUUGGGGCAUCAGGCAGUGUAAGCCUGCCACCCCCACUGUUCUGUUUUGGAGUAGGAGGUGUGCAGGGAGCUGGGUCCUAUUCUCCAUUUAUGAGAAACAGAUAUAGGGGAGAGUAUAUCGAGAGCUGGCUUAUGUUGGGACUGUACGGUAGAGCAGGUGGGUAGACCGAGUCCACUUACAGGCUGCAACAAAGAUCACUCUGUCCUUGGACAUUGUUUCCAUCCUUUCUUCCCCUCAUUUCACUGGCCAGUGUCUCCCUCCAGCCUUGGGUUUGUGGCUCUGCCAUCCUCACCUAUCAUGGAGCAGAGAUGAGGAACAGCCUGGGAACUCAGAGGCAGGCAGAAGACCAGUGAAGGAGCAGGCCCAGAGAGCACAGAGAUGCCUUAUCUGGGCAUCCUGCAUAGAGGGCCCAUAGAGGCCAGGAGCGUCAGAGGAUGAUGGAGGAUAGCCAGCUGUCAUCAAGGAUAAGCUUCCAGCCAUCUACUAUAUUCACCAUUUCUCUCCAGUCUUUCUGCCUCCAUCAGAGAGAGGCUUCAUUCUCCUACUUCCAUCUCUCCCCUACCCUGUAAUUUUUAUAAAAGCAGCUUCAAGGAGCAAGAGCCAGCUGUGAAAGGACAUACACAGGAAAUUCAUAAAUGAAGUUCAAAUGGAUAAAAUCAUGGAAAAUGUGCUUCAUUAGUAAUUGAAGAAAGACAAAUAUACCUGGAAGCAUUUACCCUUAGCAAAACUAUAACAGGAAAAAAAUAAGACCCAAUAUUGGCAAAGGAGUACUAAAGUAACACUCCGAUACAUUACAUAUUUGGGUACAAAUUGGUACAGCUUUCCUGGAUGUCAGUUUGGUAAUAGGUGUCAAACACCUUAAAAGUUUCUGUGGUCUUUGACAUUGUAAGUCUACUUUGGGGGUAUAACCUAAGAAAAUAAAGAUUUAGUUCUAAGAUGUUCAUCCCAGCAUUGCAAUAGAGAAAAACAGGAAGCAACUGUCUGAUUGGGAAUUUGUUUCUUUUCUACUGUAAUGACAAUUUGCAAUAGGGGAUUGCUUAAGUAAAUUACUGUAUGUCCAUCCAGAUGGUGGGAUAUUGUGUAGCCAUUAAAAGUCGUGUAGAGGAACAUUUUGACUCAAAAGCAAAAUACUUUUUGAAUAUUAAAAAGGUUAUAAAAAUGGCAUAUAUUAUGUGAUCUCAGUUUUGUUUUUUUUAAUAUGGAUGUAUACUUGUGUACAUAAAACAUAAAAAAGACUGAGGAUAUACUCCAAAAUGUUGAAAUAGUGGUUAUCUUUGGAUGGUGGGAUACAGUAAUUAUAAUUUUCCUCUUUGGUUUGUCUGUAAUUUCCAAAUAUUCUACAUUAAUUGUGUAUGGUUUUCAUAUAAUAAAAUGUAAAAGAAUCAGUGUAAUUAAAAACAAAACAAAACUUGGAUAGCUAGGCAUGGAAGAAUGAAAGGAUGCCUCUAGCCCGUUGGAGAACUUAGUGGGGUUUUGGUGGAGAAAGGGGACUCUUCAGAUGUUUGCAGGAGCACAAUUGGUUUAUGACCUCAUUCUUAUGGAGUAGCUGGAGUCAACCCUCUCCCUGUACAGGAAACAGCUCCCUGAUUCUGGCUGUAAGCCAGCUAAAGAGGUGUGGAAGAAGACUGGAGGAAAACAGUAAAAACCUGUCACUCCUCAGGAGAUGGGGGAAGAUUUUCCUCUCCAGGCUGAAAGGUUCUAGAAUACUAACAGGUCCUGCUGCUGAAAGCACUGACUGGUCUUUGUUUUUUUAUUCUUCCCCAACCUUGAGGUGACCCUGUGUGACCUCUCCUUGCCUCCUCAGAUUGGAAGAGAUACUUUCCUAUUCACUUAACGGGUGCCCAGCCCUGGGGAAGGGGUGCUGGCCGAAGUUUAGAGCUGUACCCUUUUGCCAUCCCUUCCUAAGAGUAGGGCUCCUCUGUAGGGCUCCCAAAAAAGGUUGGGGGAGGAGUCUCCAGCGGUCGCUUCUCCAAAAUGGGAGCUGCUAUUCCGUUUGAGUCGUGCUAUGUAAGGGGGCAGAACUGGAACAGUAGAGUUGCUGGGAUGUGUUAA
This is a non-coding RNA of Manis javanica (Malayan pangolin), 3384 nucleotides long. The record is from RefSeq and is a predicted model, not a curated record. NCBI's taxonomy places the organism in Eukaryota, Metazoa, Chordata, Mammalia, Pholidota, Manidae.